UGAAAUCAUCACAUAUCCAGUGACUCCAGGAGCUGGAGCUUUAAGGAAAACAAUAUAUAACAUGAGAAUCAUGACAAAAUCAUGAGAGUUGGCAACACUGCAUGCACAGCCUGGUUAACGGCAGCCCCAUCUUGCAGUAUGUGGGGGAACCUGCAGCUGAGAGGAGGGUGGGUGUUUCUUUGUCCGUGUUUCGUGCCUUUUCAGUCGCCCCUUGACUACACGGGGGAGGGGACUGCUCCUCAAGUGGUCUCUGUUGUGCAGACUAUGUGGGGAGUGUGCACCAAGGUGAACUGAUAAUUAGGGGUAGGUUUCACGCCAUCAAGGGUGACAAACCAGAGGGGAAAAGUCCAAGUGUCUGGUAGUUAAGAACUCGGGGAAAUGGAUUUGAGGGGACUCAGGGUCAGAAAGGAUUGUUGAAGUCACCUGCAAGAAAUAACUAGGCUGGUGGAAGCCAGGGUGGGACCUUAUGCUUAUAGGGUGGCAACUGAUGUCAGAGCACUGAACCCUGGCAGCAUAGCAUUAAGACUACCAAACUUAAAAGGCAGGUGGUGACAGAACCCCUUAUUGGUCUUGGUGGCCCCCAAAACAUCACAGGGAACAUCUAGUGACCAUUAUCUAGGGCAGAGGUUCUCAGACUGUGGUACGUGGACCACCAGUGGUCCCUGAGCUCCAUUCAGGUGCUCCGCGGAUAGUUCCCUCUAAGGUGCACACCUGGGCGGCCACACACAAGAGAAUAAAGGGCCACUCAACUAAUUAUUGGAGCCGUGCAGGUGUGGCAGAGAGAGAGGGCACAUCCAUUGCAUUAGAAAGGUAAGAGGACCAACUGGGCAGAAGGUACUGUGAUGAGAGGGCGAGGUGAUUUGGAAGCUCCCUCACCAUAGACAUGAGUGUUCAGGCUCAGUCCUGGGGUCUCAGGAGCAACCGUGACAUCAAGAGUGAAGCCUCUGCGAAACCUCCCAGAAGAAGUGAAUGUUCCUGCUGACCCAGGCAAAGCCAUGGAAGAUAGUGUACGCUGACCACACAUUGAUCAGCCCCGGGUGAGCUCCUGCGACCAGGUGGCUGGGUAGCAGCUCUUGGACCAUUAUCACCUGUACUGAGCAAUAGAUUUCAGCAGAAAACUACCGAAGUGCUCAGUGCAGGUUGCCUCUACUGCUGGCAAGGUGGAAGGACAGAAGUCAGGGACCUUUAUACCUUUGGGUGAAGGGUGAAGAAAUGUAAUUGCACUGAUCAGUAAGAAGCACAGAUCAGAUGGACAUUCCUGCAUACCUAUAUCACAAUCAAGAUACAACCACUAGACUUCUAUACACAGCUAAAGACAAGACAUUUUGAGGACUCUAUACUUUGGGAAAAUUACAGUGACUCCCAAAUGUAACUUGUGUGAGAUCAAAUGUGAUUAUACUAGCUGACCUUCUUUAUCUGAGCCCCAAUUAUCCAAAUGUUGGUCUAGCUAAAAUUAACUUCUUGCCUCCAAAUCCAAAAUCAUAUAAGCACCGAAAUUAAUUUAGCUGAAGCUCCAGUUACUGGAAGGUUUUGAAUGUCUCCCAAUACAUUUGUUAGCAUCUAAAAGCCCAUCAAGACAGUGAUCUAACUGUGAUAUCUGUACCCAAUCCUGCUCCCAUUGAAGUAAACAAGAAAACUCAAGCCUACACUGAUAACUGCAAUACUAUGUACAAGUGUAGCGUGUGGUUCCACAAAUGCACAUGAACAUAUACACAGAAAUGAAGAUACAGGUAGCACUCAGAACUCAUUGUGUGCAACUGAGGUCAACUGCCAACCAACCAAGUGCUCUGUCCUGCUCACACAAAGCUUUCCCUGAAGGCAAGAGAAAAGAAUAAUAAAAGGAGGAAAUGGCCUGCUGAGCAAAGGCUCCGAGUCUUUUAUAACAGGAGGUCGUUUUUGAUUAUAGGAAAAGAACCUUCUGUGGCCAUGGAAACCAAAAUGCCACACAAAAGCCAGAGAGUACUUGGGAGGUAAACAACUACUACCGGGUAGUAUAGAUGAAAGACAUCUUUGCUUUUUGAUGUUGCAUCUGGUUCAUCAUCAGUCACAGGGAAGAUAAAGUGCUAUUUACAAAGAUGGGGUCAAAUGACUCUGGAAAGGAGAUCUGAGAAGUGCCCUCCCCUGCUGGCUUUCUAAAAGGCAAGCUGAACACAAGGUGAAUAGCCAAAGGAAGAAAUAGACAGAGUCUAUAUCCCCCUCAAAUC
Long non-coding RNA from Mauremys reevesii (Reeves's turtle), 2204 nucleotides. RefSeq lists it as uncharacterized. NCBI's taxonomy places the organism in Eukaryota, Metazoa, Chordata, Testudines, Geoemydidae. The transcript is spliced from 8 exons. The record is from RefSeq and is a predicted model, not a curated record.